RNAcentral lists this transfer RNA (76 nucleotides) under Meristogenys kinabaluensis (Kiau Borneo frog). RNAcentral's name for it is "tRNA-Gln". It matches the Rfam family "tRNA". Rfam says of the family: Transfer RNA (tRNA) molecules are approximately 80 nucleotides in length. Their secondary structure includes four short double-helical elements and three loops (D, anti-codon, and T loops). The record is from RNAcentral. Lineage: Eukaryota; Metazoa; Chordata; Amphibia; Anura; Ranidae.
CGAGGUAAGGAGAAGUAUAAAGGAAGUACAAAGGGUUUUGAUCCCUUAAGUGUAGGUUCAAUUCCUAUCUCUUUAG